CAGGUUUUCUCUUUGAUGAUGAUUGAUCCUGACUAGGACAAGCAAGAUCAGAGGCGGAUAACAAGCAAAUUCUAGCAGUUCCCUCUAAAGUUGUAUCUGUUCUUGCUGUGGGGUUGCGUUGAAAGCUUUGGUUGGAAAGUUUUUUCAACAGAGAUGGUCACUAGAUAAGGUUUAUGUAAUCUUUUUUUCUUUUUUUGUUUGUUUGUUUUUUUAUUUUAUUCUUAUUUUAUUUAUUGAAGUUAUAUUACUAAAUGUGUGGGUCCUUUCUGGACA
Molecule: long non-coding RNA, 273 nt
Organism: Quercus robur (English oak)
Lineage: Eukaryota; Viridiplantae; Streptophyta; Magnoliopsida; Fagales; Fagaceae
Exons: 2
Source: RefSeq, a predicted model, not a curated record